Long non-coding RNA from Nomascus leucogenys (northern white-cheeked gibbon), 4898 nucleotides. RefSeq lists it as uncharacterized. The record is from RefSeq and is a predicted model, not a curated record. NCBI's taxonomy places the organism in Eukaryota, Metazoa, Chordata, Mammalia, Primates, Hylobatidae. The transcript has 3 exons.
GGCAAAACGUCCGCCCGGGCCCGAGGCGGGCGGAGGCAGCUGUGGUUACGUGCGGGGGGCCGGUGACGCAGUCGCGGGGCGCUGGGACGCGACUUGCGGAGCCGGCCGGCGGGGGCAGGCCCCAGGCUUGGGCGCGGCGGCGGGACAGCACCUACCUUCCCGGCUUCGGGUCCGGGAGUGCGGGGCGCGGAGCCGCCGGAGCGCUGCCUCCCUCCUUCCUCCUCCCCUCGCCCCCGCCCCGCGGCGCGACACACAAUACUCGCCGGAAGCGGAAGCCGCGCCGAGGCUCGUGUCAGUGGAAGCUGGGGUGUCGGCGGGCGGCCGCGGCCGGGUCUAGCGGUGCCUGCGGAAGGAGGAGGAGGAGGAGGAGGGCUGGCGAUGAGAACCAGCAGGAGGAAUCAAGGGCAAGGAGGGACCCAGAGGGGCAGGUGGCUGAGAUGCUGGCGUCCAGGUGACCCGAGGAAUCCUCUGGAGAUAGAGGCCCGCGCAUGCGCGUGCUCGAGCGCUGAAGCCCAUUGCCCGCAGGGCGCUGGACUGGCGCCCCGGCCGGCGAGGCUGUCUCGUCCAGGCUCCAGGCCCCGGCUCUGGCCAGGCGCCGCCACCUCCCCGUGCAGUUGAAAGUCGACGAAGAGGGCGGGGCGAGGGCGGCUUGUGGACUUCCACACUUUUCCUUUCUUCGGGCCAGUCCGGGGAGAGGGUGGCUAGCUGUGGCGGCGGCCAAUUACGUGGCGGACCUGCGGGGCUAAGCUGGCACGUCACUUCCGACUAGUGGAGUUUUUAGCCUUUUAACAUUCAAGGAUUAGAACUCCCUCUUUGCCCACUAGCAGGGCAUUAGCUGGUGCUGAAGACAGUGGCUGCUUGGCGAGCCUGGAUCUCCAAGUGACUCCAAGUGACCCCCUCAGCAACUCCUGAUGAACAGGACUGAAGCCAAUAUUAAAGCAAGUCAACCAAAGGUUCUCUGGUGUAGACAAGACAGCAAAAGGACAGACUACCUUGUGGAACCUAGCAUUGUUCUCCUUCUGCAGCACUAAGUAACAUUUGUGCUCUGUUAAGAUCUUUGCAAACCACACACAAGAAUUGCUGGUCAUCCUGCCAAUAGAUGCUGCUCACAGAACCACAUUUCCUGUGCUGAAUUGUCACUCAUGGGCUUGAGAGUAGGAGACUGGAGACCAAGGUGGCUAGAAUCCAGUUGGGCCUGACGUCUCCCUGUUGAAAGGGCUCCUUGUGGAAUGAACAGCACAUGACUCCCGUGGUGGAUCUGAUAGUGGCACAGCACCAAGUGAUGCAGGCCUGCCAGGGGCCACAGACACAGAAGAUGCUCCCAGGGUCCCCCGUGUACUCCAGACACACUGCAGGCCACCUCUCCCAGCAGGUUCCCAGUCAUGGGCCCCAUCGUCAUGACUUCUGUCCAAGGUGUGCUCAGAAAUCUCUUCCUUAACUGUGACUUUCUGACAGGUGGAGGAUGUGGUCAGGAGUGGGAAAAGGAUUCGAGAUGGGAAGAGGGAGGGGUUCAGAAUGAAGAGAGAUAAUCUGUGCCACAGAUGCUGGCCCUGCAGUUAGCUCCCACCUAGUCCGUGCACACAUAUUCUAAUCCCCUCCCAUUCCUCUACAUGCUGCGGCCAGAGAGGCGUUUCUCAAAGUGGAAGUCUCAUCCUCACUUCUCCGGUUACAGUGCUGGGCCAUGGAUAACUUACAAGGCUUAGCAGGAACUGUCUGCGCACUCCCCCUUCCUGCCCACUACCUUGUUUCCCUCCAGUCGCGAGAGCAAACAUUGAUUGAGCAUUAACUAUGUGCCAGGCUUGUCCUAAGUCCUUCACAUGUAUUCACUCAAACAAUCCUCACAACAUUCCAAUCACAUCUCCCAUUUCACAGUGAGGGUUCUAAAGCACACAGUGGGUGAGGAACUUGUCCAGGGUCACACAACUAAGUAGGGGUGGAGAAACAUCAAAUCUAGGUGGCCCAGGUGGUGGCCAGAACCCAUCAGCACCUCACUACAGCUGCCUCCAGUUUCUCCCUCUAGGAAAUACUCUUCCCUGUCAACUCCUGUUGUCCCCUGGGCUCAGUUGACAUGUCAUCUCCUUGAGGAGGACAUCCUGAGAUGCUCCCCGACUAGGGUGGGCACCCACUUCCACACUCCAAAUGCCUAUUUGACCUAUGUAUUGCUGCAUCCCCACUGCCAGGCAGAUAGUGGGCCCCUAAUAACUAUGAUUUGAGCAAAUAAAUAUAGUUCUUCAAAAAAAAGGGAGGACUCCUUGCUUCUGAUAAUGGUGGGCUAGGACAUUGGACCAACCCUCCUGCAGAAAAUAGCCAUUUAUUUUGAUGCAAUAUACCUGGCUAUGACUAGAGAUUUCAAAUAUUUGGAGGGCUAUUAUGUGAAGAAUUAUACUUACUCUUUGUGACAUAGAGGUCAGAAAUUGGUCGUUUCCAUAGAGGAUGAGAGACACAGAAUUGUGCUCAUCAUAAGUAUCUUUUUUAAAAAUUAUACUUAGUAAAAUGGGCUGCCUUGGUAGGUGCUGAGUUCUCUGUCACGAAAGAGAUUCAGCCACUUGCUCUGAGAAAGCAUGGAGAAUAUCAACAUUGUAAGGGUCGACCACCUCAUCUCUGAGGCCCCCUCCUCACUUAGGUUGCCAUUGCAGGUGGAACACUGGGCUGAGUGUCAAAGAACCUGGGUUCCACAAGCUGUGCGAUCAUGGCUGGUUGUUUUGGAUCUCAUUCCUUAUCUGUUAGUUAAGCUGACCCAUCAGUACUGACCCACUUCACAGAGUUAUGAAGGGAUUAAAUUAGGUAUUACAUAUAAAUCUUUGUUUUGUUUGCUUUUUGUUGUUUUUUUUUGUUUUGCUUUUUUCUUUGCAUUAUGAAAUCCCAAGUCAACUUUUUCCAUUCUUUUAUUUUUAAAAAAUUGACAUCAUCAUUAUAACAACAAAAUCAUUUUUAAAGUGAAAAAACUCACCUGCAACCCCACAAUCUAAUACAAUAAUCAUACUUUUUUCCCUUUAUUCUCCUUUAUUGUGACCAAGGAUGACUUUGGGCAUUGCUGUGAGGAACUAUUUCGUUUAACACCCUGCUACCUGAACAUGAUUCACACUCAGCCUUUCACCACCCCCCAAGUAGCUACACAUGAUACGAUAAUAGUAUUGGCGGUGGUUUUAGAGAGUUGGAGAGAAAACUGAAGUUGGAUUUGGGUAAAAGAAAAAAGAGUGGGAAUUAUUUUUUCUCCAUUCUAAAGCCCAUAGAGCAAUGUUAAUUGUUCCCACCCCUCUGCUAUUCUGUCUCCUCAGUUACUGUGUGCAGAAAUGUGAUUGAGAUUCAAGUCAGGGCCUCUCUGCCCUUUUCCCUCCAGAAACAAAACCAAGAUAAUUUAUCCGGAACAAGGUGAAAAAAGGAAGGGAGGGAGGAGAAAAAGUCCGGGUCUUACCUGGGAUUCUCUGUCUCCUGCAACAUGAAGGGUUUAGCGUGGGAGGAGGUGGUGAGAACUCUGGGAGAGAAAAAAGGAAAGAAUAGUUUUACCCAUGCUGAAGUUAAACCUUCACCUAGAGAAGCAAAAAAAAACCACACUUCUCCAUUUUGUGCCUCCCUUCCUAGAGUUUAGCUCUUUGGCUAAACUUUUUAGCCAAAAACCUUUUUAGCCAAAGUUUAGCUAAGUAAUUGGUUUUACCAGGGCACUCACUCCUCCUAUCCCGAGUCUAUUUGACUCCCUCCCCAUCAUCCCCCUCACCUCUUUUCAGGCAGGGUGGGAAUAGCAGCAGGAGGAGAUUUUGGGAGCCUGGCAACUCCUGCAAGGACCGCAGGACAGCCCCUCUGUGGGGAUGCAUGGUGCCCCAUCUGCUGCCCUUCUGAAGAAUGCACUGCCUUCACUACUGUGUUAGAGUCCAUCCAGACUGUUCUGUCCAAAAAAGAGUUUCUUUUUCCCGCAUAGGCAAUCAGGAAAUGAUUCCUUUCCCGACUGCUUCUGUCUAGUGCCUGGGAAUCCUGAGUCAAUCCCUCAGUAAGUCAGUGACUAGGGAAAUCUACCCUCUCUGAACCUCGCAGUUCAUGUUGCUUAGGGAACCUGAUAUUUUCAUGAAACCUGCCUACACAUGGGCAGCCCAACAGCAGAGCAAAUGGUGGUGACCAAAGUGAACAAAGAAGUAUAGUUGUGCCAGCUUCCUAGUUGCCCAUGUGGACAAGUCAGCAGGAUCAAGACACAAGGAAGAGUAAACGUGAGACAGCAUGUGACUUCUGCGAUAAACAGAUUUUUAAACCCUGAAAUUUUGCUAAAAUUUUGGUGAAACCUGAACUUUCUUCGUUGCAUAUACUGGCACUAUCUGUACCAUCAUACAACUGUCUCACAUUAAAGCUAUUUUUCUUGAGCACUGAUGAGUAAGGUUGGUAUGUUUGAGUUCCUCGGAUCAACAAAAUCCCAUUUUCCUGUAAGUCUUACAUUUAGUAUUUAAGGAACUAAAACUUAAAUACACUUUGUGAAGUGGUUGACACUUCACUGAUAAUGAUUUAUUACUUGGAUUAAUAAAUUUUCCAAAAGUUGUCUUAUUAUGUAGAAUACGGUUUGCAACCAGCAGAACCAUUGAUCUAUACUGCAAUGAUAUGCACUAUGUAUAAUUGUUUAAAAGCCUCUACUUAAUGAUGUAAAAUGCUCUAAUUACACAUUUGGGUAAACUGUAUACUAACAUCUGAUGGCAUUUUUCCACUGUUUGUUGCUUUUUUCAAAUACUUUAUUGUACAAAGCUGUUCUUAAUAUUUUUCAAGUUUUUUUCUUUGAAUUUUGCUAAUGUUUUCCUUGAAUUAUGAGCACUGACAGAAUGUGCUUAGCACUUUUGGCUAUUCACACAGCUUUUGAGCAUGAUUUGCAUCCAAUAUUUACAUUGCUAGCAAUAAUAAGCCAUCUGUGAGUUUUGUCAAAA